RNAcentral lists this ribosomal RNA (408 nucleotides) under uncultured bacterium. RNAcentral's name for it is "bacterial SSU rRNA". It matches the Rfam family "Bacterial small subunit ribosomal RNA", at positions 355 to 760 of the family's 1533-position model. The record is from RNAcentral.
UGAGGAAUAUUGGGCAAUGCCCGCAAGGGUGACCCAGCAACGCCGCGUGGAGGAUGAAUGUCGUAAGAUUGUAAACUCCUGUUAGAGGGGAAGAAUAGUACCGGUUGGACCGGUAUAUGACUGUACCCUCAGAGAAAGCCCCGGCUAACUACGUGCCAGCAGCCGCGGUAAUACGUAGGGGGCAAGCGUUGUCCGGAUUUACUGGGUGUAAAGGGCGCGCAGGCGGGAUAAAAAGUCAGUGGUGAAAUCCUACAGCUUAACUGUAGAACUGCCCUUGAUACUUUUAUUCUUGAGUUCGGGAGAGAGAGACGGAAUUCCAGGUGUAGUGGUUAAAUACGUAGAUAUCUGGAAGAACACCAGUUGCGAAGGCGGUCUCUUGGUCCGACACUGACGCUGAGGCGCGAAAGC